AGAGUGAAUCGGCCCCUAAGGAACCCCCGAAAGGGCUGCCGUCCGAUGGGUACACGAAAGUGACGAAGUUGCUUUGCUCUCACCGCCCCUCAGGCUUAAAAGACUCGUGACUAUGGCAGGGCGGUACGCUCUGCUCUCUCGCGACCCCCACACUGACAAAUGCAUGCAGAGAACUCUUCAAAUGCUGGAGGUGUGGCUCACCUAAACGUUCAGAAAUGACAAGAACAAUAGGAACAUUCUUGAAUCAGAAACUGGAACAAAAGCAGGUCUUCUUUUCCCUGUUUUGACAUAUUGACAUAAUCAACUGAUUGAACAGAACAUCAAGGCGCUAAGCUGGCAAAAGGGCUUUGAGACGGAGUCCUUCCCGCCCGAAAUGAAUGCGCCUAGGAACUACGAUUCUGAAGAGGCUACGUUCCCGGCCUCCCCUCUUUCGUGU
Molecule: long non-coding RNA, 436 nt
Filed under: Nicotiana benthamiana
Lineage: Eukaryota; Viridiplantae; Streptophyta; Magnoliopsida; Solanales; Solanaceae
Description: long non-coding RNA (NBEN_LNC026623)
Source: RNAcentral